UUGAUUCGUCGCGCGUGAUUUCAAAAGAAGAAGAAGAAAGAACAAUAGCAUUUGCAAUGCAUCCACGCUACAGUCCAGCGCCGCCGCCGCAUCAGCAGCAGCAGCAGCAACAGCAACAGCCAAUGGGCGGGCCCCAUCAGCAGCAGUCGGCAGGGGGUGGACCCGGACAUGGCGGUGGUGCAUCUGGCCACAUGAGGGCGCCACCAAAUUCACAGCAAUUACCGCCGCAGAUGCCGCGAUCACAGAAUUAUGCAAAUGGCUCGUCCAGUGCCGCUAGCGUCGCAGCCGCACCGCCAACGCCGCGAAGCGCUUUUCCCGGCGCACCGUUGACCGCCUCAGCCGUAGCACUCAAAGGCGCCAUCCCACAGCGUCCACCGGCCAUGACCAGCCCAGCUGCUGCUGCUGCUGGCGCCGCUCUAGCAGCGGGCGCCCCUUAUCGCGGUGCAACCAGCUGGACACCGCAGGGCUAUGCACCCGCUGCUGCCGCUGCCGCCGCUGCGGUCGCCCAGCAGGCCUAUCGCUAUACGGCGCCAUUGCCCCAACCGGCAUAUGCCGCCUAUACGCCGCACACGGCCACCACGCAGGCCACAACCACGGCAUACCAGUGGGUUAAUCAGCUCAGCACUUUGGAGUACGGCCAGCGUGUUCCGACUGCAGCCUCACCGAGCAACACGAACUCGAGCAGCUCAUCGAACACGGGCUCCCAGAGCGGCACACUGAGCACCAGUCUGAGCAACACGACAAACACAAACACCACAAUGGGUCCCAACGGCACGGCACAGAAUCAAAAUCAACAGGGCGGCGAGCAGUUGUCAAAGACAAAUCUCUAUAUACGCGGACUGCAGCAAGGCACAACCGAUAAGGAUCUGAUCAAUAUGUGUGCACAAUACGGAACAAUAAUAUCAACCAAGGCUAUUUUAGAUAAAACAACAAACAAAUGUAAAGGUUACGGCUUCGUCGACUUCGAGCAGCCAGCCUACGCUGAGGGCGCCGUCAAGGGACUGCAGGCGAAGGGCGUGCAAGCUCAGAUGGCCAAAGUGGGUAUCUGGGUGCUUCAUAGGCCGGCCAUUCAACAGGAACAGGAUCCCACAAAUUUGUAUAUUGCAAAUUUGCCGCCACACUUCAAAGAAACCGAUCUGGAGGCAAUGCUAGCGAAAUAUGGUCAAGUUGUCUCCACCAGAAUAUUGCGUGAUCAGCAAAUGAACUCAAAGGGCGUUGGCUUUGCACGCAUGGAGAGCCGCGAGAAAUGCGAACAAAUUAUACAAAUGUUCAACGGUAACACAAUACCGGGUGCCAAAGAUCCGCUAUUGGUGAAAUUCGCCGAUGGCGGUCCCAAAAAGAAGAAUCUCUUCAAGACGCCCGAUCCGAAUGCGCGUGCGUGGCGCGAUGUCUCCGCCGAGGGCAUACCCGUUGCCUACGAUCCGACCAUGCAACAGAAUGGUGUCAGCGUCAAUGUUGGCACACCCAUCGGUGUGCCCUAUUCCCGUUUCGGGGCACCACAGGUUGGUGGCUAUCCGGUCGCUGGCUCGCAAUGGAUACCCGGCUAUAUGAUGACACAGCCGAUCACUCAGGUAGAUGAUCAGUAUUCCUCCUCUGCCCUGCAGUACAUGCAAAUGGCUGCCGCUCCCCAGUUGGGCGUCACCUCGUACAAACCGGAGGCUGUUAAUCAGGUGCAACCACGCGGCAUAUCGAUGAUGGUCAGUGGUGACACGGCUGUGCCAUAUGGAACUAUGAUGCCACAGUUGGCCACCCUGCAGAUUGGCAACUCUAAUUUUUCUCCAUCGUUACAGUAUAUUAGUCCAACUUAUCCAUAUUAUGCACCACCACCAACUAUUAUACCAACAAUGCCAAUGACAGAUUCCGAACAGGCUAGCACAGCUGCAUCACCCGACGAGGCAUACACACAGUAUCCACAUCAAGCCGCUCCCAAAUAGGUCUUCGCGAGUAUAGUUACUAAGCAGCCUAAACACUGGUAACACAUUCUAGAUAUAAUAUUUUAGUACCCCGUUUGAGUACUAUUUAAUGGACGUGAUGGAGGGUUAGCGUUGGGAGCAUUACGCGCUGGAAUAACAAUAAUAAAAACAACAACAUCUACAACAAAAACAAAAGAACUGGCUUGAAGAAAACAGCAACAAGAAGAAGCAGAAGAAGAAGCUGAAGAGGAGGAGAAGGAGAAGGAGAAGGCCACAUCAGACCAGAAACAGUUUGAUAACAGUCGAAAAUGCUGUUCCCUAAAAAAAUAAUGUUUAAAAAAAUAAAGAAAAGCUAGAGAAAGAGAAUUAAGAGUUAUGUAUAAAAGAGAAAGCAGCAGAAGCAGCAACAAAGGAAAGAAAAAUACAUACAUAGAUAAAGUGUAAGAGCGAGCGAAACGGAGUUAAGAUGAGAGCGUAAAAAAGUGAAGAAAAGCAAAGACUAAACUUAAAUAAUAGUUAUUAGUUAUACACUAAAAAAACAAACAUGCUUAAACAACAGCAAAAGUGAACGAGAAAGUAGUAGUAGAAAGGGGUCGAAGAUUUCAUUGAAAGCAGGAAAAACUUACCAGAAGGGGGCAACAUUUUCUUAGAAGAGGAGUUAAAAGAAAA
Molecule: RNA transcript, 2582 nt
Organism: Drosophila virilis
Lineage: Eukaryota; Metazoa; Arthropoda; Insecta; Diptera; Drosophilidae
Gene: shep
Gene name: alan shepard
Source: RefSeq, a predicted model, not a curated record